UACAGAGGGGGCAAGCGUUGUUCGGAAUCACUGGGCGUAAAGCGCACGUAGGCGGCUCUUUAAGUCAGGGGUGAAAUCCCGGAGCUCAACUCCGGAACUGCCUUUGAUACUGGGGAUCUUGAGUUCGAGAGAGGUGAGUGGAACUGCGAGUGUGGAGGUGAAAUUCGUAGAUAUUCGCAAGAACACCAGUGGCGAAGGCGGCUCACUGGCUCGAUACUGACGCUGAGGUGCGAAAGCGUGGGGAGCAAACAGG
This 253-nucleotide ribosomal RNA is filed under the name uncultured bacterium. RNAcentral describes it as "partial 16S ribosomal RNA". It matches the Rfam family "Bacterial small subunit ribosomal RNA", at positions 524 to 776 of the family's 1533-position model. The record is from RNAcentral.